Molecule: unclassified non-coding RNA, 210 nt
Filed under: Hevea brasiliensis (rubber tree)
Lineage: Eukaryota; Viridiplantae; Streptophyta; Magnoliopsida; Malpighiales; Euphorbiaceae
Source: RNAcentral
UGGCGCUCAAAUAAAGAUUGUUCCAUUUUCAUAAACUCCUCACUCGUGCAGGAUUUACUCUCCCAUCUGGACAAUAAGCCCUUGCUGAUCCCUUCCUGUGGCUUAAUCUGCAACAGGACACGAGAAAGUACUACAUCCGCAGCUUCUGCUAGGUAUUCACUUAUACAACUUAAAAACCGCACAAUGGUUGCAUUUGCUGGCUCUGCAAAC